GACGAACGCUGGCGGCGUGCUUAACACAUGCAAGUCGAACGGAAAGGCCCUGCUUUUGUGGGGUGCUCGAGUGGCGAACGGGUGAGUAACACGUGAGUAACCUGCCCUUGACUUUGGGAUAACUUCAGGAAACUGGGGCUAAUACCGGAUAGGAGCUCCUGCUGCAUGGUGGGGGUUGGACAGUUUCGGCGGUUGGGGAUGGACUCGCGGGUUAUCAGCUUGUUGGUGGGGGAGUGGCUUACCAAGGCUUUGACGGGUAGCCGGCAUGGGAGGGGGGCCGGGCACAAUGGGACUAAGAGAGGGCCCAGACGCCUACGGUGGGCAGCAGGGGGGAACAUGACACAAUGAGCGGAAGCCUGUGGAAGCAACGCCGCGUGCGGGAUGACGGCCUUCGGGGUGUAAACCGCUUUCGCCUGUGACGAAGCGUUAGUGACGGUAAUGGGUAAAGAAGCACCGGCUAACUACGUG
RNAcentral lists this ribosomal RNA (468 nucleotides) under uncultured bacterium. Its description in RNAcentral is "partial 16S ribosomal RNA". It matches the Rfam family "Bacterial small subunit ribosomal RNA", at positions 28 to 507 of the family's 1533-position model. The record is from RNAcentral.